UAGAUCGGUGGUGUGGGGCUUUUAUGUUCCAGAGCACUUGGUCUCAGGCUCGAGAGGAUUGGUAUCUAUCUAUUUUCUAUCUGAUCAAAAACCCCAUUACCUUGAUUGAGGUAUUCUAAAAUACCUUCCUUUUACUAUAAAAGCUCAAAGCUCUAUUUUCUUCCCUUCUCCAAAUUGGAGAUAUUAAGCAUGAUCACCACACAGGUCUCAAGAG
This 214-nucleotide long non-coding RNA is filed under the name Citrus x clementina. RNAcentral describes it as "Citrus clementina (C. clementina) long non-coding RNA (CCLE_LNC001423)". Lineage: Eukaryota; Viridiplantae; Streptophyta; Magnoliopsida; Sapindales; Rutaceae. The record is from RNAcentral.